RNAcentral lists this ribosomal RNA (468 nucleotides) under uncultured bacterium. RNAcentral's name for it is "partial 16S ribosomal RNA". It matches the Rfam family "Bacterial small subunit ribosomal RNA", at positions 28 to 507 of the family's 1533-position model. The record is from RNAcentral.
GACGAACGCUGGCGGCGUGCUUAACACAUGCAAGUCGAACGGAAAGGCCCUGCUUUUGUGGGGUGCUCGAGUGGCGAACGGAUGAGUAACACGUGAGUAACCUGCCCUUGACUUUGGGAUAACUUCAGGAAACUGGGUCUAAUACCGGAUAGGAGCUCCUGCUGCAUGGUGGGGGUUGGAAAGUUUCGGCGGUUGGGGAUGGACUCGCGGCUUAUCAGCUUGUUGGUGGGGUAGUGGCUUACCAAGGCUUUGACGGGUAGCCGGCCUGAGAGGGUGACCGGCCACAUUGGGACUGAGAUACGGCCCAGACUCCUACGGGAGGCAGCAGUGGGGAAUAUUGCACAAUGGGCGGAAGCCUGAUGCAGCAACGCCGCGUGCGGGAUGACGGCCUUCGGGUUGUAAACCGCUUUCGCCUGUGACGAAGCGUGAGUGACGGUAAUGGGUAAAGAAGCACCGGCUAACUACGUG